RNAcentral lists this ribosomal RNA (253 nucleotides) under uncultured bacterium. RNAcentral's name for it is "partial 16S ribosomal RNA". It matches the Rfam family "Bacterial small subunit ribosomal RNA", at positions 524 to 776 of the family's 1533-position model. The record is from RNAcentral.
UACGAAGGGGACUAGCGUUGCUCGGAAUGACUGGGCGUAAAGGGCGCGUAGGCGGAUGGCACAGUCAGAUGUGAAAUUCCCGGGCUUAACCUGGGGGCUGCAUUUGAUACGUGUUGUCUUGAGUUCGGAAGAGGGUCGUGGAAUUCCCAGUGUAGAGGUGAAAUUCGUAGAUAUUGGGAAGAACACCGGUGGCGAAGGCGGCGACCUGGUCCGACACUGACGCUGAGGCGCGAAAGCGUGGGGAGCAAACAGG